GCAGAGGACCCACCAGGAUCCCCUUGGAGGACAACCAUUGGACUACGUGAGGUCUUUGGAAGCACUACAGUUCUGAAUGCCUUCCAAAGAAUGAAGCCCACCCCCCAUGGCUCAGCUAGUGGCGUUCACCGGACCAGGAACCCCGAGACCUGAAGGAGGAGCCGUGCAUCUGGAGGAACACCAUGAGGCUACCCGCCAAGUAUUACUCGUGAGCUCUGCAGGGUGGUCAGGACGGCUGGAGACGUGGAGGACGGGGAGCCAGGCUCACCAGUGUAAGUGGCGUUUGAUUGGGUCAUUUAACUUGCUGUUGUGAUACUAUGGAAUAUAUUUGUUCUGAUGUGUCCAUUUUGCAUCCAUUUUAAUUAUAAUUGAGUUACAAGGAUUUAUAUUGGGGAAUAUGCUUGAUUGUGAUUGGUUCAGUACCUUCAGUGUGUGGACGUUCGUCUUUCUUAAGACGGCCAACCUGUGUGUCUCUAGUUAAUAAAUAAAGCUAGGAAGUUAUAGCACAGCUAUUUAGUUGGAGCACGUUGUCUUCCGAAAUUGAAUCACAUGUACAUCCUGUAUGAAACCAGACGGCAGAACGUGUUUAUAAUGAUGCUGUCUGACUUCACAGGACUUCCUGGGCGAGGCGUGGGGCGCCAGGAGGGACCGA
Molecule: long non-coding RNA, 652 nt
Organism: Gadus morhua (Atlantic cod)
Lineage: Eukaryota; Metazoa; Chordata; Actinopteri; Gadiformes; Gadidae
Exons: 3
Source: RefSeq, a predicted model, not a curated record